Molecule: ribosomal RNA, 198 nt
Filed under: uncultured Vibrio sp.
Lineage: Bacteria; Pseudomonadati; Pseudomonadota; Gammaproteobacteria; Vibrionales; Vibrionaceae
Description: partial 16S ribosomal RNA
Rfam family: Bacterial small subunit ribosomal RNA
Source: RNAcentral
ACUCCUACGGGAGGCAGCAGUAGGGAAUCUUCCGCAAUGGACGAAAGUCUGACGGAGCAACGCCGCGUGAGCGAUGAAGGCCUUCGGGUCGUAAAGCUCUGUUGUCAGGGAAGGACAAGUACCGGAGUAACUGCCGGUACCUUGACGGUACCUGACCAGAAAGCCACGGCUAACUACGUGCCAGCAGCCGCGGUAAUA